UACGUAGGGGGCAAGCGUUGUCCGGAUUUAUUGGGCGUAAAGCGCGUGUAGGCGGCUGGGUAGGUCCGUUGUGAAAACUCGAGGCUCAACCUCGAGACGCCGAUGGAAACCCUCCAGCUAGAGUCCGGAAGAGGAGAGUGGAAUUCCUGGUGUAGCGGUGAAAUGCGCAGAUAUCAGGAAGAACACCCGUGGCGAAGGCGGCUCUCUAGUACGGUACUGACGCUGAGACGCGAAAGCGUGGGGAGCGAACAGG
Molecule: ribosomal RNA, 253 nt
Filed under: uncultured bacterium
Lineage: Bacteria
Description: partial 16S ribosomal RNA
Rfam family: Bacterial small subunit ribosomal RNA
Source: RNAcentral